Molecule: ribosomal RNA, 255 nt
Filed under: uncultured bacterium
Lineage: Bacteria
Description: partial 16S ribosomal RNA
Rfam family: Bacterial small subunit ribosomal RNA
Source: RNAcentral
GCAAGUCGAACGAGAACGGAAUCUAGCUUGCUAGAUUUGUCAGCUAAGUGGCGCACGGGUGAGUAAUAUAUAGUUAAUCUGCCCCAAAGAAGAGAAUAAUUGUUGGAAACGACUUGUAAUGCUCUAUAUGCCUUUAUCACAGAAGUGAGCAAGGGAAAUAUUUAUAGCUUUGGGAUGAGACUGUACGGUAUCAGAUAGUUGGUGAGGUAAUGGCUCACCAAGUCAAUGACGCCUAACUGGUUUGAGAGGAUGAUC